AGAUCCAACACUGUUUCUCAUAGCUUGCUGUAUUAGAGCUGUUGUAACAAAUACGAAGAAAAGUCAUACAAGCAGAGCAAUUUCUGAGCCAGCGGAUCAUGAUGAAAAGGAGACCGGCCACUCCAGGCAAGGUUUGCAGCAAGGCAGUUUCAUUGUAACCUGUCUUGUGAAUGCUUAGCUUUCCUAGUGUCAGCUUUUAAAUUUAAACUUUCCAUUGCUGGAUUUAUUCUGUAAUAUAUUAAGAACACUGCUGAAAAGAUUAGAAAAAUCUGAUCAUCACAAAGACAUGAAAAGGGCUGAGAGAGCAAUGUAUUUCUGAUAUAAUAGCAGAUUUCCCUUUUACUUCUUUUCUAUGAAAAAAAAAUAAAUCCCCAAUCCAUUCAAACCAGGUUAAUAGAACAUAGAGUUUCAGUCUACAGUUUCUGGAAGACUCUAAGGAGCAUUGUUUGCCUUUCUGUUCAUUUUCUCCUUUUGAAUUCCACCUAGAUGAAGCAGAGGCUUGAGAUAGCACAGAGCAAAAUGGAACGAAAACAGACAUACACCUGAUUUCUUAGGCCUCUUGAAAAUUAAUGGGCAGGAAGGUUUAACUUGUUCAGAGUGGACUAUUGACAUUAUAAAGGUGUAAUUGCUGAGAAUAUCCUUAGGGAUUAGUUUUAACCUUGUGAUUAUACUGUAGGACUUUUACGCUCCUUGACCCUAGAAGGAGUGUCCAGGUGGGGGACAUCUGAGCUCAUCUUUGUCCAGGUGCACCUCCUAUCAUCAGUGAAUGCUCUGAAGUGGGAAGGAGAAGUUCAGAGUGCUGAUGGUCACAGAGAUCUUCCAUUCCUGAAUCCUAUCACCUUCUCUUCACAACAACUUGGAGAAGAUCCAGAGAGUUGUGGACCCACGGAGGAGACAUCUGAAUAAGCUGUGGCGAUUCAUGCAAGAUCAUUUAAGUACCUAAUGCACAAGACUGGGAUUUGAGGCCAGGUCUGGGCGUCUCAGGAGCCCACCUACUUAAGAAUGUGCAGUCUCUGACAUGAGUCUCAGGCUUCCAAGCUCUGUUUAAAUGGAUUCUGAAGCUGUCUCAGAGUUGGCUAAUCCUCACAACCUUCCUGGGAGUCAUUUAAGCUCACGCCAUGGUUUAGCGCAGUAUCCUACAAAUGGUGUGCGGAAAUACCACCUCCUACAGCUUAAAUUUUAAAUCCACCAUUGUAGACGCCCAUCUGAAGUGAGAAAGCAAAGCGCUAUUUUGGACCAUGAAUGUUCUCGCCUGAUGUGUCUUUCCGUACGAGGCCCGAUCUGUCUGUGAUUCUCCGAAAGGGAGACAUGUCGUGAGGACAUGGCUACGCCCUACAGCUAAAAGGAGUUUGAGGAGGAAGAAGGUAAUGAAGAGUUCAGUUCUCGUCUCGAAAGUUCAUGUGUUCCUGAUGCCAUCAUCCAGACAGUGGCUGCCCCUUGUGUUUCCUAGAGGGACAAUAUGUGGAUUGCGGGCAGCAGGAGGUGGCACAUUAAGAUGCCAUGGAGUUCAACCAGAGUUUUGCUUCUGUCAUUAAAAUAAAUCUGAAAUCACUCUCCUUCUAUAUCUACCAUAUUAAGCGGACUUGGACGGAUUUGAGUAAAUCAUUACUAAAAGGGUUGGGAAUUUCAUGUUUUUCUGGUCUGCAGGCAAAAAAGUUUUGUUAGUGAUUCAGAAGAGGGCUUUUAGCUUUUCUGUGAAUCCUCCAGAUGGUAAUUCUGUGCAAUGAUGGGAAAUGAAAUUUCUGACCCUGGGAAUUUCAUCUGUGCCACGGUUAAAUCACUUUCAUGCUAUUGCUUUAGGGAGGUUCCAAAAGUCCUUUUCCUGAGUUUUUAAUAGAUCCCUUUCCCACAAUUAUACUGUACUUUCCUUUAAAAUUUUUGUCUAUGUUGCUAGUGCUUGGGAAAUAUUAAAUACGAGUCAAAGCUUCACUAUUUCCCGUUUCUAACUUUUCUUUCUGCUGUAAUAGUCUGGUUUAGUAAGCAAC
This 1985-nucleotide long non-coding RNA is filed under the name Equus caballus (horse). Its description in RNAcentral is "lncRNA (ENSECAG00000049593.1)". The record is from RNAcentral. Lineage: Eukaryota; Metazoa; Chordata; Mammalia; Perissodactyla; Equidae.